Fundulus heteroclitus (mummichog) is the source of this 1692-nucleotide long non-coding RNA. RefSeq lists it as uncharacterized. The transcript is spliced from 4 exons. Lineage: Eukaryota; Metazoa; Chordata; Actinopteri; Cyprinodontiformes; Fundulidae. The record is from RefSeq and is a predicted model, not a curated record.
GUCUCGGGAAAAUGCUUUUAUUGGGCCCCUUGAAGGACCUUAAGUUGUGGCCACGCCCACAACACGAUUUGACCAAUUGCGCUCACUUCCUUUCGUCCUGAGAGCCUACUGGCUGGCUUUCAAUGGGCACGUUUGCAAGAAUACGGUGAUCAAUUGUUUAUCUGAUAAGAUCUGGCAGCAGGAAGGGCUCUGAAUAACCAGCGCAACAUGGCUGCCUGGGAGCGCCAGGCAGGAGAGACUGAUCGAGCCACGGCAGGUGUCCGAGCUGCUCUUCUGAGUGCAUUUCACGUCCAGCAAUGAUGAGAAAGAAAGCUGUAAACAUCUCAGUACCAGAAACAUCACAGGAGAAGAAAAGGAUUUUAUCCAAACACCAUCUCCUGGACACACUCUGGCCUUUGCAGCUGGAAGCAGCAAAAUUCAACAGUUGGACUCUUUACUAGUCCUAAAAUAAAUAUGAUCCAUGAGACAAAAUGCCUUCCUGUUGCUCAUGCAUCCUCAAAUAAGCUUCAGAUCUUCAUUUUAGGGUGGAAAUCAGUUCUUAAGGCUUGUUGGGGACCGAAAACAAGCAUGCAAGUAUCCUUGCUAACAUGUCCAGCGACACACAGCCAGUAUUCAGGAGUAAAGAAGCAGGCAAAAUUGGCCACAAUGUGUUGUGGCCAGCCCACAACACAUUUUAGAUUUAACAUUAAUAUGCAUGUUUAGAGUUAACCUAUAGAUUUAAUGUUUAGCAUUUUAGAUUAAGAUUUAACAAAACAAAAUUUGACUCACCCAGCAUUCAAACCUGGGUCACUGUUUCUAAGAUGAGGAUGACUAAGCCCGCUUCAUCACCACAGAUGGAUUGCAUAGGCUGGGUAAGCAUGUUUGAAAUGUUGGAAUAUGAAUUUUUUUCAGAUGAUUUCCUUUAUAAAUUUGAUGAAAGUCUGCUAAAUGUUAGAAAAACAUGCUAAAUAUAAAGAAAAUGUCUAAUAUUUUCCAUGAUAUAUUCACACUCAGUUCUUCAUAGCAUAAUGUGCAUGAGGAUUUCAAAUCUUAAAAAUGUCCUGCCUAAAGUCACUCUCAAUGCGGUGAUGUCUACAAGCAUGCAUAAAAAUUAAAUUAGAAAUGGGGUAUAAAAAAAGAAAUAUUUAGUGGAAAAUUAAGAAUAUUGAUCUUCAAAGAUGUGAUAAGCCAAAACAUUCCACCGGAAUUUAAAGCUCUAGCACAAACAGCUGUGUUUAAUCAUAAAACCAACCUCUAGAGGAGAGUCAGGUUCAUCCAGGAUGCUCUUCUCACUCUGUAUCCGCUGCAUGGUUCCUGUAGAAUUGGGGUCCAUUAUCAACACGUUCUGACCACCAGCUCCUCCAAACUUAUUGUCACUCUUUCUGGAGUCAGUGGUCCUGCACACCUCGUAGUUGUACACGUGUGGCAGAGUCCCUGUUCCCAAAGUGUCUGAGUAACGUGGAGGAUAAUAUGGAAUCACAGGGAGGUUGGAGUGAUACAGGAUGCGAGACUGUCUCCAUCUGUAGAUCUUGACUGAUAUAAUAACCACUAAACACGUGAUGAAGAGGAAGGAGACCACAGCCAGAGCCAAGACCAAGUAAAAAGUCAGGUUGUCAUUGUACUCCUUAUCGUGAGGAAAGUCAGUGAACUCGGACAGCACUUCAGGGAAGCUGUCCGCCACCGCCACGUUAACAAUGACUGUAGCUGAACGAG